GUCAUAACACACCUACAGAGCAUUAAUUUGUGCAAAGAAUUAGCAUGAGAUUGAAUGAAGCAGCAGCAAGCCACGAGUGCAAAUAAGUACCAACAGCAGCUCAAGUUAUUCCUCUUAUUUUGUAUAGGAUGCACCACCAGCGCAAGUUCCUCCUCUUUGUUUUGUACAGAAUGCAGGUGUUCAUUCAGUUCAGAACAUCACACUCGCACGCCACAGCAGGCAGCUCAAGUUCAGAAUUUGUUUGCACAGAAGCAACAUUAGAUUGAACGAAGCAGGAGUAGGCCACGAGCGAAAACAAAUACCAGCAGAGCUCAAGUUCCUCCUCUUUUUUUGUUUUUUACAUGAUGAACCAUCAGCUUCUGUCCUCUUAAACUACUCCUGCACACACAAGAGCCAUCAGCUUUGAACUACGCCUAUAUAGACACUCGAACGAUCAGCUUUGGCAUAGUUGAACUACUCAGCAAUAAGCCAUGUAAAAAUCAUAAGAAAAAACACUAUUUUUCAGGCAUAAACACAAACAUCUUAUGUGCUUAUCACUGAUCUCGGCUGGUAGAAUGAGAGGGAGGUAAACAAAGGGCAUGGGAGAUGAAUUAGCAGAGGAGAGAGAGAGAAAGAGACCUGGUCUCUUCGAAUCAGCUGACAUCGGGCCGCGCAGGUGAACUGCUGGCUCCUGUUUGAAUGGCUUGUCCACCGGUGACGAUCUUGGGAGGAUGCUGCUGCCGCCCAUCCGAGCUCUGAACUGCUGAGGCACAACCAUGCCCAAGUCCGAACUACUGCUCGCGACAAACACGAUCACCCCGACGCCAUGGGGUUGGACUGAGGAUGGCGCACAUGCAACGAUGGAGGAGACCGUGGGGUGAGGCCGCCGUGGCGCCACCAUUUUUUGGUCGGCGGCGGCGGUGCGCUGGAAUGAGGCGGCGGCGCAUGUGGGGACGCAGGACCGGCGCGCUGGAAGGAGGCGUGUGGGGACGCAGGACCGGCGCGCUGGAAGGAGGCGUGUGGGGACGCAGGACCGGCGCGCUGGAAGGAGGCGGCGCUGUGGGGAGGUUGCGACAGCUUUUCCUGAUGUACAAUGCUUUCUAUUUCGAAGUUCACACUAGCCAGGUCUGUAGAAUUUGUUCCAUGAGUUUUUACGCAAGGGGAAACACAAAAACUUUUAGAGCUCACUUUCUUGUGGAGGAAGUGGAAGAAGGAUUAACUAAUAUUUGUUUUUGGCACAAUAAAUAUAUUUGAACCUAGACGAUUUAACCGGUUGAACUGAAACAGUCAAACUGAUUAGCAUAUCUAGGUAUAAUGAGACGUUUUAACUAGUUGAAUUGAGACAGAUUAGCACCAAAUAGCUAGCACUGAACUGAGCUAAAAUAAGAAACUGAUCUGAACUAAAAUAAGAAUUGAACUAAAGUAAAAUUAGAAAUUGCAUUGAACUAAAAUUAGAAUUUGCACUGAACACAUGAUUAUAAUGACUUGCACAAUUUGUACGGAAACCGUUCAACGGAAAUUAAACGACUCAAGAGAUCAGUUGGCCACAACAAUAACAAUGUGCCAAGAUCUGAAAAGAUACGAUGCUCAAAACUAAUAACCAAUAGUUGAACUCAGCAUUCCACUUGGUUAAGGUAUGUGCUAGUAAUAACUCCCAAGGUUACAGGCUAAAACAAGAUCAUCAUGUUCGUGUGCACACUUAGCAAUAUGACCGAUGCACGUCAUGGCCCUUAACAAGUACAAUAUGAUAACAAAGUUACAUUCUGUUUUUCCAUGUCACUUAAUACUUAUUCAGUUUUCACUAGCAUACACAAAAUUGCAUUGACAACAUUCAGAAGUUGUAAAGAAAAAUGCAUGAGAACAGACAAGCAAGGGUCAGUAUCGUACCUGGAGCGUACAGGCUUAUGUAGGGUAGGACGCUCAAGUAGAACCCAGGCUCGUAAACCUUCUUAAGCUGUCAAGGAUUGAGCUUGAUCAUAAAUAUGCCAACAUCUGUGCUAACGAACAUGAGAACCCACACCUUCUGC
Molecule: long non-coding RNA, 2006 nt
Filed under: Triticum aestivum (bread wheat)
Lineage: Eukaryota; Viridiplantae; Streptophyta; Magnoliopsida; Poales; Poaceae
Description: long non-coding RNA (TAES_LNC003603)
Source: RNAcentral